Cinara cedri is the source of this 606-nucleotide non-coding RNA. Lineage: Eukaryota; Metazoa; Arthropoda; Insecta; Hemiptera; Aphididae. The record is from the annotation of a GenBank genome assembly.
UUUACUUAACUCGUACAACUCCGUCUGUUAACGGACAUUUCGCUAAAAGCGUUGCCGUUUUGAAUAUCAAAAGUAGGUAAAAUAACGGUUCUGUACAACGGAUUCCGAAACAAAGUUAAUCUCAACGACCGUCCUGUAUACAUCACAUGUUGUAUGCGUAUAAAAAUAAGAAAAAGAAAAAAAAAACAGCGUUUCACGCGACAAUUGAUUAUGUGAAGCGAUACGGUUACGGCGGCGAACUUUAAGCAAUGCGGGAGCGAAUCUUUGCGACCGCCGCGAUCCAGGACGCCUAUAGCCGCGACCGACAAUAGCUGUACGCCCAACGAAAUACCAUUCCGGAUCGUUCGAAUUCCAUAGAAAAUAAGGAAAACCGCGCUCGCCCUUUGCGAAAAAAGGGCGCUGUUCCGAAAACCGUACGGUUCGACGCGCCACCGCGGCAGCUGCCCCCUUACGGUUAUCGCAUCGAACGAAAGGCGAGUCGCCGGUACGAUAAACGCGAUGAAACCGCGGCGUUGCGUUCGAUAACGCGCGGGAUAAUUGUGCGGCGAAAUACGUUUGGGAAAAAAAAAAAAAAAAAAAAAAAAACCUAGUGGAAAACAACAAAAC